This 329-nucleotide ribosomal RNA is filed under the name uncultured eukaryote. RNAcentral describes it as "partial 18S ribosomal RNA". It matches the Rfam family "Eukaryotic small subunit ribosomal RNA", at positions 1470 to 1796 of the family's 1831-position model. The record is from RNAcentral.
CCCUUAGAUGUCCUGGGCCGCACGCGCGCUACACUGAGUGUCUGAGAUACGAGUCUGCCUGGUCCGGCAAGGUCUAGGUAAUCGCUAAAAGACACAUCAUGCUUGGGAUAGAUUAUUGCAAAUAUUAAUCUUGAACGAGGAAUUCCUAGUAAGCGCAAGUCAACAGCUUGCGUUGAUUACGUCCCUGCCCUUUGCACACACCGCCCGUCGCUACUACUGAUUGGAUGUUUAAGCGAGGUUCUCGAACUGCUAGCGACUUAGCUUCGGUGAGGUCGCAGUGUGGGAAGUGAACCUAGCUUUGGUGUCUAGAGGAAGUAAAAGUCGUAACA